Molecule: ribosomal RNA, 485 nt
Filed under: uncultured bacterium
Lineage: Bacteria
Description: bacterial SSU rRNA
Rfam family: Bacterial small subunit ribosomal RNA
Source: RNAcentral
AGCGACAGGCCUAACACAUGCAAGUCGAGGGGCAGCACAAGGAGCAAUCUGAGGUGGCGACCGGCGCACGGGUGAGUAACACGUAUGCAACCUGCCUGUAAGCGGGGAAUAACCCGUUGAAAGACGGACUAAUACCGCAUAAUACUAAAUUACUGCAUGGUAAUUUAUUUAAACAUUUAUGGCUUACAGAUGGGCAUGCGCAUGAUUAGCUAGUUGGAGAGGUAACGGCUCCCCAAGGCAACGAUCAUUAGGGGUUCUGAGAGGAAGGUCCCCACACUGGUACUGAGACACGGACCAGACUCCUACGGGAGGCAGCAGUGAGGAAUAUUGGUCAAUGGACGAGAGUCUGAACCAGCCAAGUCGCGUGCAGGAAGAAUGUCCUAAUGGAUUGUAAACUGCUUUUGCAGGGGAAUAAAGUGCAUCACGUGUGAUGUUUUGUAUGUACUCUGCGAAUAAGGAUCGGCUAACUCCGUGCCAGCAGCCGC